AAGAGACAGCGCCGCCGGCCGUGGGGAGCGGACGCAGUGAUUUGCUCCCCCUCGUGCAGCAACCCCCACACCCAGCACCAGGAGCCUGUUCCUCUCACGCCCUCACCUGGCUGAGCCGCAGUAGUUCUUCAGUGGCAAGCUUUAUGUCCUGACCCAGCUAAAGCUGCCAGUUGAAGAACUGUUGCCCUCUGCCCCUGGCUUCGAGGAGGAGGAGGAGCUGCUUUCCCCAUCAUCUGGAAGGUGACAGAAAUGGGCUGGGAAGGUCCGAACAGCAGGGUGGAUGAUACGUUUUGGGCAAGUUGGAGAGCCUUUGCCCAGAUUGGCCCAGCAAGGAGCGGUUUUAGAUUAGAGACACUGGCUGGAUUGAGGAGUAGAAGGCUCAAACAACCCAAGGUGGUAUGUGAUCCCCAGCUCAGGCCUGUGCAGACAGGAAAUUCUCCCCUGCAGCAAGUAGGGGAGGUGGGUUGUGGGAUGUGACCUCCUUCCAGAUAUCAGGCAGUGAGUGUAAACCUGCCACCUCCAGCCCUGAUCCAUUCUCACCUAGCGGCUACAGGAAGCUGUGUCUGUUCG
RNAcentral lists this long non-coding RNA (570 nucleotides) under Homo sapiens (human). Its description in RNAcentral is "MIR22 host gene (ENSG00000282800.1)". The stretch from base 109 to 192 matches the Rfam family "mir-22 microRNA precursor family". The record is from RNAcentral. Lineage: Eukaryota; Metazoa; Chordata; Mammalia; Primates; Hominidae.